Oncorhynchus tshawytscha (Chinook salmon) is the source of this 1053-nucleotide long non-coding RNA. The record is from Ensembl. Lineage: Eukaryota; Metazoa; Chordata; Actinopteri; Salmoniformes; Salmonidae.
UUUGCAAUUACCAGCGGUUCCUGCCAGUUAGGCCCAACCUAAUCUGGAAUACCCAGAACAAAAUCUUGCAUGAACAUAACUCUCAUAACCUCUGUGCUCCCGACAGACGUAACAUGUUGGUUACAGAUCUUAGGACAGAUAUGCCCACCCAGAUCAGUCUUAUCUACACCUGCAAUUGGAGCACAUUACAAACCUAUGACAGCUAUAGGUAUGAUAGUGUAUAUGAAAAUGAUGCACCAUCACAGAAGGGUCAUAGGUGGGAGCUAUUGUUUCACCAUAAAAGGAGAGAGGGGAGACACAAAAUACAGUGUGUCACUCUCACACUCACUACUGUGGCAUUGCCUGAGUCAUUAUCUACAGCCAACAGCUCCUGUGUAUAUUUCUAAAAACAUUUUCGAGAGCAUGUGAAUAUAGUCGCCCCCGAAAGCAUUUCUCAUUUCCAUAUAUCCUGUUUCACAUCUCUCUCUGUAUUAUACAUAAUAACAGGUGGCAGGUUUAAAGAACUCUUAACCGUGAUCCAAUGAAUGUGCUGCUGGUGCCUUAUGUGUGAGUUAUGUAUUAUUAAUAAUAUCAUUAUUGUACUAUAUAAUAAAAUGUUAAAUAAUUGACUUUCAUAACAAUAUCCCUAGUUGUACUUUUGGUUGGAAUGACAAUGAACGACAUUUCUUGUCGUCUCUCUUGACCUACAGUUAACAGAUGCAGGAACAAGGAGAAACAGACAAACACUUGGAUUACCCAGAAGAAGCACCAGAUCUCAGUAAGCCUGAAGUUUGUGAAGGGGUUGAGCUGAGCAGUGAGUCCUCUGCCCUUGUAAAGUGUCAGCAGUGUUUGUUCUAUGUGGAUUCUAAACUCAAGGAGCUUGGUCGAUCAAAUGCCAGCCACAACCAAUGCUCCCUCCAAGUAAAGGGGUCAGAGCUGCCUGGGUGGAAGCCCAGAGGGCUGUGGUCAAAGGUCACCGUCCAGUGUCAUUAUGAAGAAGAGAAGAAGAAAAGGCAAUACCAUGACAUAAUUAUGUUUUUAUGUAGCUGCCUCACACUUUUCCUCCACUUUGCC